Molecule: long non-coding RNA, 783 nt
Organism: Chelonia mydas (Green sea turtle)
Lineage: Eukaryota; Metazoa; Chordata; Testudines; Cheloniidae
Exons: 3
Source: RefSeq, a predicted model, not a curated record
UAAGACUCCCACUGACUUCUCUGGGCUUUGGAUCAGAACCUGCACUGGAACACUGUGACCCAGGGACCUCUUGGUGCCAACUGGCAGAGAGGUGUAUAAGGGUUACAAGCACCACCACCCCGAGUCUGGUAUCGACAUAUUAGUUUGCCAAAGAGUGCCAUGUAAGGACUGGACUGAAAGACUGUCACACUGGUCAUCAUAAUCAUUGUUAAAUGAAUGAUGAGAAUCUGGAGGAGUCCCCUGGACCAGAGGCUGGACACUGCAGGCAGAUGCUUGGAGGGCUCAAGGAUUGGAGUGUCUCUGUUGCUAACUGGCUAGCCGAGCCUGCAUAGACCGAGAGGAGGAUGUUGUGCUGCCUGUUAGCGUCAGGGAGAUGGCCCCAGGCAGGCAGAGAGGAGGGCAAGUGCCCUUCCUCAUGCUAAGGGCAGGUGGUAGUGAGGUGCCUCACUAUCCUGGUCACAGGUAGUGAGGAUAUGGCAUCCCAACCUACCCCCGACCGACUGUCACUACUGCCCCAUGGCAUCUGUUCCUGUAAAACACAGCUGUCACAACUCAUUGAAGGUAACAAAGGCAGAUAACACCAGCUACUUGUGUUAGGCUUGGGAGGGGGGAAAAAAUCAAGAAUUUAGCAAAGACUAUCAGGACACAUUGGCAGCGGCUCAAAAAGUGUCUGUCAGUUUUUGCAACUUUUAACGAAAGAUCCAAAUGGAUUUUUAGUGGAAUCUUUUAAGAGCCAAUUCAUUUUAGACCUACAAAAUGGGGUUUUAUAAGCCAGGAGCAUUU